GCUGGGUGUGGUAGUGCACGCCUGUAAUCCCAGCUACUCGGGAAGCUGAGGCAGGAGACUCCCUUGAACCCAGGAAGCAGAGGUUGCAGUGAGCCAAGAUCGUGCCACUGCAGUCCAGCCUGAGUAACAGAGUAAGACUCUGUCUCAA
This 148-nucleotide non-coding RNA is filed under the name Nomascus leucogenys (northern white-cheeked gibbon). The record is from Rfam by way of RNAcentral. Lineage: Eukaryota; Metazoa; Chordata; Mammalia; Primates; Hylobatidae.